Molecule: unclassified non-coding RNA, 561 nt
Filed under: Hevea brasiliensis (rubber tree)
Lineage: Eukaryota; Viridiplantae; Streptophyta; Magnoliopsida; Malpighiales; Euphorbiaceae
Source: RNAcentral
AAAAAAAAAAAAAAAGAAACAAAACAACGACGUACUUGGGAAAAGAAAAUUGGCUUUAUACAACAAGGUCCACACGAUUCUGAAUUAUCUUUUUUUUCAAAUAUUCAUAUUUUCAUAUAUUUAACUUAGUGAAGUAAACAAGAGAGAAUAAUUCACACAUUAGUGCAAACAUAAAAGGCAUACCAGUUCUCUUUUUCCCACCUAAUGGGGCAAAAGUAGAAAGGAUUGAGAAGAGCCAAGCAGUAUAACCAUGCAUAUACAAGAGAAGCACUAAAAAAGAAAAGAAUCUAACAAAAAAGGAAAAUGAACAAAGACUGAGACUUACAGUGAAAUCGACCAAAACAUCUUGAAUGGAAGCAUAAAAUGGAAGGAGAGUAAAAGCAAGGAAAAUAAUGUACAGAACUCCUGAUUUUAACCCAACAAGAUUUCUUCCCUCUUCAAAUUCACUCUUGUUUCACUCCAACUACAAUCCCUACAUUAUGCUACACUGGCCUUUUCAUGCUAUAUUAAGAUGCUCCUUCCAACAAUUCCACAAUGAAAGUCCAGAACUUGUACCACAGA